RNAcentral lists this ribosomal RNA (253 nucleotides) under uncultured bacterium. RNAcentral describes it as "partial 16S ribosomal RNA". It matches the Rfam family "Bacterial small subunit ribosomal RNA", at positions 524 to 776 of the family's 1533-position model. The record is from RNAcentral.
UACGUAGGGGGCAAGCGUUGUCCGGAUUUAUUGGGCGUAAAGAGCGUGUAGGCGGCCAUACAGGUCAGCUGUGAAAACUCGAGGCUCAACCUCGAGACGUCGGUUGAAACCGUAUGGCUAGAGUCCGGAAGAGGAGAGUGGAAUUCCCGGUGUAGCGGUGAAAUGCGCAGAUAUCGGGAAGAACACCCGUGGCGAAGGCGGCUCUCUGGGACGGUACUGACACUGAGACGCGAAAGCGUGGGGAGCAAACAGG